RNAcentral lists this unclassified non-coding RNA (577 nucleotides) under Mouriri guianensis. RNAcentral describes it as "partial external transcribed spacer". The record is from RNAcentral. Lineage: Eukaryota; Viridiplantae; Streptophyta; Magnoliopsida; Myrtales; Melastomataceae.
GCAUGGCAUGUAUCGAUCACGUACUGACAUGUCUAUUGUUUUAUGAGUGGGUUUUCCCUCAUGAGCUGAAGGCUAUUCGGUGGUGAUUGAUCUUUCCAAUGGGUUGACGCAUGAGUGGUGAUUAGGAUGUGUUUUCAUGCAGGCUCUUCAUAUCAUAUGACGAACUGUGUGGAGCUAUUUGUCUCAGUAAUCCAUUGCCUCGUCCUAUAUUUGCUCGUUGCAAAAUGAUUGGGUGGUUUCUGUGUUUGCUACUGAUUUUGGUAUGUGGGAUUGAUGGAAUCCAUUGUGCUUUGUUCUUGCCACCGUUGGCUUGUUUGGCAAAAGGUGGACGUCGCAUCGGUCUCCUGUGUUUCACGCAAGUUAUCCUUCUUUGGGUGGGAUUUGUGAUGGCUCAUGGGUGAUUGUUUAUGCUCUCGGGUAUGUGAAAUAUUCGGUUGUUGUUUGGGUCUUUUGACCCAUACAUAUAAUUUCUCAAGCAUUUUGCUUUGUUUGGUUUGACCCUCGUGCUUGUUCCGGAGCUCAUCGAGCCUUAGGGCGCGUUGUUCAUCACGGAGAUGCUGAGGUCCAUAAGGAAUGC